This 253-nucleotide ribosomal RNA is filed under the name uncultured bacterium. RNAcentral describes it as "partial 16S ribosomal RNA". It matches the Rfam family "Bacterial small subunit ribosomal RNA", at positions 524 to 776 of the family's 1533-position model. The record is from RNAcentral.
UACGUAGGGUGCUAGCGUUGUCCGGAAUCAUUGGGCGUAAAGCGCGUGUAGGCGGCCCGGUAAGUCCGCUGUGAAAGUCGGGGGCUCAACCCUCGAAUGCCGGUGGAUACUGUCGGGCUAGAGUGCGGAAGAGGCGAGUGGAAUUCCAGGUGUAGCGGUGAAAUGCGUAGAUAUCUGGAGGAACACCGGUGGCGAAGGCGGCAUCCUGGACCGAUACUGACGCUGAGGAGCGAAAGCCAGGGGAGCAAACGGG